GAUCAAGCGAAUAAGUGCAUGUGGUGGAUGCCUUGGCGAUUACAGGCGAUGAAGGGCGUGGAAGCCUGCGAAAAGCUCCGGGGAGCUGGCAAACAAGCUUUGAUCCGGAGAUGUCCGAAUGGGGAAACCCGGCCCGCAAGGGUCAACCUUGACUGAAUACAUAGGUCAAGCGUAGCGAACCUGGUGAACUGAAACAUCUAAGUAACCAGAGGAACAGAAAUCAACCGAGAUUCCCAGAGUAGCGGCGAGCGAAAUGGGAUCAGCCUCCAAUUUUUAGCACUUGAACUAAUCAAACCGUCUGGAAAGUCGGGCCAUAGUGGGUGAUAGCCCCGUAGAUGAAAGUUUGAGUGUGGAACUAGGGUUGGAACAAGUAGGGCGGGACACGAGAAAUCCUGUUUGAAUAUGGGGGGACCAUCCUCCAAGGCUAAAUACUCGUAAUCGACCGAUAGUGAACCAGUACCGUGAGGGAAAGGCGAAAAGAACCCCGGGAGGGGAGUGAAAUAGAUCCUGAAACCGCGUGCAUACAAACAGUAGGAGCCCUUCGGGGUGACUGCGUACCUUUUGUAUAAUGGGUCAGCGACUUACAUUCAGUAGCAAGCUUAACCAAAUAGGGGAAGCGUAGCGAAAGCGAGUCUUAAUAGGGCGUUUAGUUGCUGGGUGUAGACCCGAAACCAGAUGAUCUACUCAUGGCCAGGAUGAAGCGGGGGUAACACUUCGUGGAGGUCCGAACCCACUAAUGUUGAAAAAUUAGGGGAUGAGCUGUGGGUAGGGGUGAAAGGCUAAUCAAAUCUGGAAAUAGCUGGUUCUCUCCGAAAACUAUUUAGGUAGUGCCUCACGUAUCACCUUCGGGGGUAGAGCACUGUUAUGGCUAGGGGGCCGUUUAGGCUUACCAACCCAUGGCAAACUCCGAAUACCGAAGAGUGCAAGCGUGGGAGACAGACAUCGGGUGCUAACGUCCGGUGUCAAAAGGGAAACAACCCAGACCCUCAGCUAAGGUCCCAAAGUACAGUUAAGUGGUAAACGAAGUGGGAAGGCGAAAACAGUCAGGAAGUUGGCUUAGAAGCAGCCACCUUUUAAAGAAAGCGUAAUAGCUCACUGAUCGAGUCGUCCUGCGCGGAAAAUGUAACGGGGCUCAAACUGUACACCGAAGCUAGGGAUUUACACAAGGUCAGCCUUGUGUAAAUGGUAGGAGAGCGUUCCGUAAGCCUGCGAAGGCAGCUUGUGAAGGCUGUUGGAGGUAUCGGAAGUGCGAAUGCUGACAUGAGUAGCGAUAAAGGGAGUGAAAGGCUCCCUCGCCGAAAACCCAAGGAUUCCUGUGCAACGUUCAUCGGCGCAGGGUGAGUCGGCCCCUAAGGUGAGGCAGAAAUGCGUAGCUGAUGGGAAACUGGUUAAUAUUCCAGUACCUUUAUUCAAUGCGAUGUGGGGACGGAGAAGGUUAGCUCAGCCGGGUGUUGGAUGUCCCGGUUCAAGCGUGUAGACGUGCUGCUUAGGCAAAUCCGAGCAGCUUAGUUGAGACGCGAUAACGCAACGCCCUUCGGGGCGCCAAGUGAGUGAUACCAUGCUUCCAGGAAAAGCCACUAAGCUUCAGUUGAAUAAAGACCGUACCGCAAACCAACACAGGUGGGUGGGAUGAGAAUUCUAAGGCGCUUGAGAGAACUCUGGAGAAGGAACUCGGCAAAUUAACUCCGUAACUUCGGGAUAAGGAGUGCCCUCGGUACGUGUAGCGCUUUACGCGUGAAGCGGAUGAGGGUUGCAAAGAAAUGGUGGCUGCGACUGUUUAAUAAAAACACAGCACUCUGCAAACACGCAAGUGGACGUAUAGAGUGUGACGCCUGCCCGGUGCCGGAAGGUUAAAUGAUGGGGUGCAAGCUCUUGAUUGAAGCCCCGGUAAACGGCGGCCGUAACUAUAACGGUCCUAAGGUAGCGAAAUUCCUUGUCGGGUAAGUUCCGACCUGCACGAAUGGCGUAACGAUGGCCACACUGUCUCCUCCAGGGACUCAGCGAAGUUGAAAUGGUUGUGAAGAUGCAAUCUACCCGCGGCUAGACGGAAAGACCCCGUGCACCUUUACUGUAGCUUUACAUUGGGUUUUGAGAAUAUUUGUGUAGGAUAGGUGGGAGGCUUUGAAGUGAGCUCGCUAGAGUUCAUGGAGCCAUCGUUGAAAUACCACCCUGAUGUUCUUGAGAUUCUAACCUAGAUCCAUUAUCUGGAUCGGGGACCGUGUAUGGUAGGCAGUUUGACUGGGGCGGUCUCCUCCCAAAGUGUAACGGAGGAGUACGAAGGUACGCUAGGUACGGUCGGAAAUCGUGCUGAUAGUGCAAUGGCAUAAGCGUGCUUGACUGCGAGACUGACAAGUCGAGCAGAUGCGAAAGCAGGUCAUAGUGAUCCGGUGGUUCUGUAUGGAAGGGCCAUCGCUCAACGGAUAAAAGGUACGCCGGGGAUAACAGGCUAAUUCCUCCCAAGAGUUCAUAUCGACGGGGGAGUUUGGCACCUCGAUGUCGGCUCAUCACAUCCUGGGGCUGUAGCCGGUCCCAAGGGUAUGGCUGUUCGCCAUUUAAAGUGGUACGUGAGCUGGGUUUAAAACGUCGUGAGACAGUUUGGUCCCUAUCUGCCGUGGGCGCUGGAAGUUUGAGAGGACCUGCUCCUAGUACGAGAGGACCGGAGUGGACACACCUCUGGUGUACCGGUUAUGACGCCAGUCGUAUUGCCGGGUAGCUAAGUGUGGAAGAGAUAACCGCUGAAAGCAUCUAAGCGGGAAACUCACCUCAAGAUAAGACUUCCCGGGGGUUAAACCCCCCUAAAGGAUCGUUGAAGACCACGACGUUGAUAGGUCGGGUGUGGAAGCACAGCAAUGUGUUAAGCUAACCGAUACUAAUUGUCCGUGUGGCUUGAUCCUA
Molecule: ribosomal RNA, 2895 nt
Filed under: uncultured marine bacterium 577
Lineage: Bacteria
Rfam family: Bacterial large subunit ribosomal RNA
Source: RNAcentral